AUACGUAGGUGGCAAGCGUUGUCCGGAAUUAUUGGGCGUAAAGCGCAUGUAGGCGGUUUGGUAAGUCGGUCGUGAAAAUGCGGUGCUUAACGCCGUAUGGCAAUCGAAACUGCUGAACUUGAGUGCAGGAGAGGAAAGGGGAACUCCCAGUGUAGCGGUGAAAUGCGUAGAUAUUGGGAAGAACACCAGUGGCGAAGGCGCCUUUCUGGACUGUGUCUGACGCUCAGAUGCGAAAGCCAGGGUAGCGAACGGGAUUAGAUACCCCGGUAGUCCUGGCCGUAAACGAUGGGUACUAGGUGUGGGAGGUAUCGACUCCUUCCGUGCCGGAGUUAACGCAAUAAGUACCCCGCCUGGGGAGUACGGCCGCAAGGCUUAAACUUAAAGGAAUUGGCGGGG
Molecule: ribosomal RNA, 396 nt
Filed under: uncultured bacterium
Lineage: Bacteria
Description: partial 16S ribosomal RNA
Rfam family: Bacterial small subunit ribosomal RNA
Source: RNAcentral